GCCUCCGCAGAAGUCUGUCCGCGAUGGGAUUUCGGCUCGCCGACAUCGUCCGACCAUCGGUGAGAAAUCGCCGAUACCGUGGUUUCCAUAUUCACCCUGCUAUGUGCCUCCUACGUGCGACACGAUCAGCCGAACGCCCAGGACCACGCAUAGAGGACAUAAGGGCGGCGAGCGCUUGAAUAGAUCUCAGCGGUGUUCCCCGGCGAGCAGGACCAGUCGCACCGGCGCCGAGGUUAGCGAGGAUGGCCCCGGCCUUUAUACACGCAUGCGGAGCCGGACUGCGAACGAUCCCUCCUGCGUGGGGC
RNAcentral lists this long non-coding RNA (305 nucleotides) under Zea mays. Its description in RNAcentral is "long non-coding RNA NONZMAT002925". Lineage: Eukaryota; Viridiplantae; Streptophyta; Magnoliopsida; Poales; Poaceae. The record is from RNAcentral.